RNAcentral lists this ribosomal RNA (889 nucleotides) under Staphylococcus sp. R-23211. RNAcentral describes it as "bacterial SSU rRNA". It matches the Rfam family "Bacterial small subunit ribosomal RNA", at positions 28 to 898 of the family's 1533-position model. Lineage: Bacteria; Bacillati; Bacillota; Bacilli; Caryophanales; Staphylococcaceae. The record is from RNAcentral.
GAUGAACGCUGGCGGCGUGCCUAAUACAUGCAAGUCGAGCGAACAGACGAGGAGCUUGCUCCUCUGACGUUAGCGGCGGACGGGUGAGUAACACGUGGAUAACCUACCUAUAAGACUGGGAUAACUUCGGGAAACCGGAGCUAAUACCGGAUAAUAUAUUGAACCGCAUGGUUCAAUAGUGAAAGACGGUUUUGCUGUCACUUAUAGAUGGAUCCGCGCCGCAUUAGCUAGUUGGUAAGGUAACGGCUUACCAAGGCAACGAUGCGUAGCCGACCUGAGAGGGUGAUCGGCCACACUGGAACUGAGACACGGUCCAGACUCCUACGGGAGGCAGCAGUAGGGAAUCUUCCGCAAUGGGCGAAAGCCUGACGGAGCAACGCCGCGUGAGUGAUGAAGGUCUUCGGAUCGUAAAACUCUGUUAUUAGGGAAGAACAAAUGUGUAAGUAACUAUGCACRUCUUGACGGUACCUAAUCAGAAAGCCACGGCUAACUACGUGCCAGCAGCCGCGGUAAUACGUAGGUGGCAAGCGUUAUCCGGAAUUAUUGGGCGUAAAGCGCGCGUAGGCGGUUUUUUAAGUCUGAUGUGAAAGCCCACGGCUCAACCGUGGAGGGUCAUUGGAAACUGGAAAACUUGAGUGCAGAAGAGGAAAGUGGAAUUCCAUGUGUAGCGGUGAAAUGCGCAGAGAUAUGGAGGAACACCAGUGGCGAAGGCGACUUUCUGGUCUGUAACUGACGCUGAUGUGCGAAAGCGUGGGGAUCAAACAGGAUUAGAUACCCUGGUAGUCCACGCCGUAAACGAUGAGUGCUAAGUGUUAGGGGGUUUCCGCCCCUUAGUGCUGCAGCUAACGCAUUAAGCACUCCGCCUGGGGAGUACGACCGCAAGGUUGAA